Callithrix jacchus (white-tufted-ear marmoset) is the source of this 1097-nucleotide long non-coding RNA. NCBI's taxonomy places the organism in Eukaryota, Metazoa, Chordata, Mammalia, Primates, Cebidae. The record is from Ensembl.
GGACCCGGCCUGGGCGGGGCGGGCCGGGGGCGCGAAGGUGCCUGGGGCCGCGGCCGAAGUUGGGCCGAGAGCUGGCGGCCGCCCCUCGACGGGGUCGCAGGUGACACGCGAGGAAUCCCAGGGUGCCGAUCUGCGGAGUUCCUGUAGCCAAGUCGAAGGUGGCCCUGGGCAGGCACGGGUGUUAUGGUGCUGUCUUCAGCCAACAGAGCCAUUCUCUGGGGACUUCAUACGGGAAGAGAGUGACGGAUUUGGCGCUUCUGUGUUUCUGCUGCCUCAGUGAGGCCACUGCGGGAGUCGGUGCGGUGGACCCAUGUCGGGGCCCAGAGUGCGUCUCCAGUGCCUGUCAGUGCGGUGGACCCAUGUCCGGGCCCGGACGUGCCUCUCCAGCUGCCUGUCUGCUGGGCUUGCCUCCUCAAGACCACUGUGAAAAUCAGGGCCAGGGUGUAUCCUGAGCCUACAGGCCCUGUCCCCUCCCCCUAUGUCUGCAGGGGUUGAGGGCUGCACCCAGCUCGCUGGAGAAGGAGAGGCAGAUUUAGUGGACGCCUUUGGAAGCACCCUGUCCUGAUGGGGCUGCCUGUCACCACUGUGGACUGAGGCUUGGCAGAAUCUGCAGGUGGAGAAGGCUGUAUGUGGCCUUGGGGUGGAUGGAACCUGCAGAGCUGACUUCCUGCCCAAUAGGGACUUUCUGUGAGGCACCCUCAGCGAACCGGGGUCCUCAGCCAGCUCUACAGAGCACUUCUGUGUUGGGGUCAGGUGGAAGUCUGGGCCAGUAGGGCCCCAGCAGUCACUCAAUUAGGCCUGGCUCUGCUUCUGCCCUUAUUACACCAGGUGGGAUGCCACCCUGCGUCGCCUGGGGGUUGGCUUGGCUUGGGCCUGCCCUGCGGUGGAACUGGAUAUUUUCAGGGAGCCCAGCCUUUCCACACGCUAGCACAGUGCACAAUAUAGUUUUCAAAGUGCAGUUGAAAACUCAAAAGUAAACUUUUCAGUCACUCAAAGGUUUGCUUACUGAUCUGAAACACUCUGGCAACUUUUCGGACCAUGGGAGUCUGUUCACCUGAAACAUCUGUGAGAGGCCCGGCUCAGUGGCUCACCCCCAG